Long non-coding RNA from Alosa alosa (allis shad), 1132 nucleotides. RefSeq lists it as uncharacterized. The record is from RefSeq and is a predicted model, not a curated record. NCBI's taxonomy places the organism in Eukaryota, Metazoa, Chordata, Actinopteri, Clupeiformes, Clupeidae. The transcript has 3 exons.
UAGUUUUAAUCUCUGUUUUCUAUUUUUAACGAAAAUGUUCACUUGGCUCAUGAAAGACCAUUCCACAGCUACAGCCAAAUGUGCUUGCAGAUCCUACAGACGGUGUAGUUCUUCAUCUAUGGAACUGUGUGGCUCUGUACCACCAUUGUGUCUUUGUAUUGCAGAAUGGUGUGAAUUCAGCCCCUUUUGAGGUGGGUAUUCCAAAGUACGGUGCAUUUGUGCCUACUAAGCGCUAUGGCAGUGAGUACUUCCUGGGUCACCAGCUCAACAACCUUCCAGAGAAUCGUCUGCCUUUUCUGAUAGGUGCUGAAGAAAACCCAGAAGCACUGCACUGACCACAGGAUCCCGUUCCCUCACAUCGAUUUCAGCCGUGUGGAGAAUGAGCCCAUGAAGGAGGUGUAUGUGUUUGAGGACAAGAACAAUCCCAAAGCUCCCAUUGUGGUUCACUUCCCCAUGGUCAACCUCACCUUCAGAAAGUUCAAAGCCCCAGGAGUCAAGCGAGAAGGGGAAGAUGAAUUGAAACAGGGAGAGGUGAACCAAGGACUCGCCAUACCUCACCUCGCUUACCAAACUGGCCUACCAGCCUGAGGACUUCCAGAAGCUGAUGGAUCUUACUUGCUACAACGUCCUGAACAACCGCGACAUCCUGCGGUCAGCUCAACGCAGAGCGCUACAGAGAGAGAGAACCUAUGUGGACGGGAGCAAGGACCACCCCUGCUCCUGAACAGAUCCUCCAAAUUGUGUAUUUUUGAUAGGAAAUAGAAAUUAUACAUACAGGCAUAGAUGAUGAAGUUUAUACAUAGAUGUUUAAUUUAUGUCAAACUGUAUGGCUACACUGGUUGAAACAUAUUCCAUUUGUACAUUUUCCUUGUGACUGGUCACACACAACAACAACAACAAAAACAUCCAAAUUUGUUGACUGCAGUACAUCAGGUAAUCAUUUUCUUAGGGUCUAUUAGUCACUUCAUUGGAUUAAAAUAAUGCAAAUGUAUUAAGAUAAACACCAUGGAAAUAUUAAGCUUAAGUAAUUGUUGUUUAGUCAUUGAUUAAUUUAGCAACUAAUUUCAUUUGGACAAUUUGGAACCAGAAAUAUGUUAAUCCUGUGUGAUGAAAUUAAUAAAGUAUCUUUGUA